This is a non-coding RNA of Candidatus Pacearchaeota archaeon CG1_02_30_18, 73 nucleotides long. The record is from Rfam. Lineage: Archaea; Nanobdellati.
AGCCCCUUAUUACAGUGGUCAAGUAUGCAAGCCUUUGAAGCUUGAGACCCAGGUUCGAAUCCUGGAGGGGCUA